CACAAAUUAUCAUUUUUUAAAUACACACAAAGACUCCAUCUCAAAAAAAUAGGAUAAAGAAUAUAUAUACAAUAUCACUUAUUAAAAGUGCGCCAUCUCAACAAACUAGUGGAAAUGGCCCGUACAGAGCCGGGCCCAGACCUAAUAAAUUAAAAGUAUAUAUUAUUUAAGAUAAGAGAGGUUGCUUUGAUGGUAUGCAAUCCUCACUUUCAACCGAGAGAUUGUGAGUUCGAGUCUUCCCAAGAGCAAGGUGAUGUAGGAAAACAAUUUAAAGGUAGAAGACCUUUAAAUGUAAGAAGGAAAGAGAUUUUGUUUNNN
RNAcentral lists this long non-coding RNA (318 nucleotides) under Nicotiana benthamiana. RNAcentral describes it as "long non-coding RNA (NBEN_LNC022139)". Lineage: Eukaryota; Viridiplantae; Streptophyta; Magnoliopsida; Solanales; Solanaceae. The record is from RNAcentral.